RNAcentral lists this ribosomal RNA (115 nucleotides) under Parazen pacificus (parazen). RNAcentral's name for it is "partial 16S ribosomal RNA". Lineage: Eukaryota; Metazoa; Chordata; Actinopteri; Zeiformes; Parazenidae. The record is from RNAcentral.
ACGCCCAACCGCUAGCCCAAAAAACAUUUAUAAAUUCUAAAUAUACUCAACAAUUAAUUAACCUAAAACCUCUCAACAAACCAUUUUUCCCCCUAAGUAACAGGCGAUAGAAAAG